This is a long non-coding RNA of Mauremys mutica (yellowpond turtle), 750 nucleotides long. RefSeq lists it as uncharacterized. Lineage: Eukaryota; Metazoa; Chordata; Testudines; Geoemydidae. The record is from RefSeq and is a predicted model, not a curated record. The transcript is spliced from 3 exons.
GGGCAGGGGCAGGGGCAGCAGAGGCUGGGGGAGCUCAGGGCUAAUGGCUACCAGACUGGGGCCCUGACACAAAGGGGCAGAGAAGGUGCUGGGGCGACGGGGAAGUGGCCCAGGGAAGCAGGCAGUAAAGGAGAGCUGGAGGAGGGCAGUAAGUGGCUGCUGCUAGAUGGUCCCUGGGUCGGAGCCCAGAGUAACAGGCAGGCCUGGGCUCCCCUUCUUUCCCCCCCCCACUUGCCAGUGAUGAGUGGCUAAGCCAGGCUGCAGCUGGCCCUUGGGGGAAGGGGCUAGACUGAGGACUGCAGUGAGCCACUGAGGCCAGUGAUAGAACCAGAAGCUGCCGGUCCCCCGGAACGGGGGGGUGGAGCAGGCACAGCUGGAGGGCAGUGUCCGGAAGCAGACCCCGUGGUCCGGGAGUGAUGUGGGUCUGACUGUGAGGACAGCGGAGACCGAGGGAGUCACGGUGGGCGAGACACCACUAGCGAAGGCGUACUGCUGAAAGAGCUAAUUCCCAAACCAGCCAGCAGGAGGUGCUGCCGUGGCAAAUAUCUAGCUGAGCUGACGUGCUCCCUGGAAAACCUCUGCGUACCCCUGGCUGAGAACCACUGCCUCAGUGAGUCCAGCUUCUGGAAGAUACCAUUCCAGCAGUCACCAUGUAAAUUUCAGUCCACACUAGUGAAUUCCAGCUGUUCUACCAACUGGACACACUGCGUUCCCUGCCUCCAAAGUAGACAGACACCAUUCUGCCAGGUG